UACGUAGGGUGCGAGCGUUGUCCGGAAUUAUUGGGCGUAAAGGGCUCGUAGGCGGUCUGUUGCGUCAGGAGUGAAAACUCGGGGCUUAACCCCGAGCCUGCUUCUGAUACGGGCAGACUAGAGGUAUGCAGGGGAGAACGGAAUUCCUGGUGUAGCGGUGAAAUGCGCAGAUAUCAGGAGGAACACCUGCGGUGUAGACGGCUGGCUGGACCACUACUGACGCUGAGGCACGAAAGCGUGGGGAGCAAACAGG
RNAcentral lists this ribosomal RNA (253 nucleotides) under uncultured bacterium. RNAcentral's name for it is "partial 16S ribosomal RNA". It matches the Rfam family "Bacterial small subunit ribosomal RNA", at positions 524 to 776 of the family's 1533-position model. The record is from RNAcentral.